CCUACGGGAGGCAGCAGUGAGGAAUAUUGGUCAAUGGACGAGAGUCUGAACCAGCCAAGUAGCGUGAAGGAUGACUGUCCUAUGGGUUGUAAACUUCUUUUAUCUGGGAAUAAAGCGUUCCACGCGUGCGCUUUUGUAUGUACCAUAUGAAUAAGGAUCGGCUAACUCCGUGCCAGCAGCCGCGGUAAUACGGAGGAUCCGAGCGUUAUCCGGAUUUAUUGGGUUUAAAGGGAGCGUAGGUGGAUUGUUAAGUCAGUUGUGAAAGUUUGCGGCUCAACCGUAAAAUUGCAGUUGAAACUGGCAGUCUUGAGUACAGUAGAGGUGGGCGGAAUGCGUGGUGUAGCGGUGAAAUGCAUAGAUAUCACGAAGAACUCCGAUCGCGAAGGCAAGUGGCCGGGGUGAAACUGACGCUGAGGCUCGAAAGUGUGGGUAUCAAACAGGAUUAGAUACCCGGGUAGUC
This 460-nucleotide ribosomal RNA is filed under the name uncultured bacterium. RNAcentral's name for it is "partial 16S ribosomal RNA". It matches the Rfam family "Bacterial small subunit ribosomal RNA", at positions 338 to 795 of the family's 1533-position model. The record is from RNAcentral.